AUCCGGGUUGCGGACAGUGUCUGGUGGGUAGUUUGACUGGGGCGGUCUCCUCCUAAAGAGUAACGGAGGAGCACGAAGGUUGGCUAAUCCUGGUCGGACAUCAGGAGGUUAGUGCAAUGGCAUAAGCCAGCUUGACUGCGAGCGUGACGGCGCGAGCAGGUGCGAAAGCAGGUCAUAGUGAUCCGGUGGUUCUGAAUGGAAGGGCCAUCGCUCAACGGAUAAAAGGUACUCCGGGGAUAACAGGCUGAUACCGCCCAAGAGUUCAUAUCGACGGCGGUGUUUGGCACCUCGAUGUCGGCUCAUCACAUCCUGGGGCUGAAGUAGGUCCCAAGGGUAUGGCUGUUCGCCAUUUAAAGUGGUACGCGAGCUGGGUUUAGAACGUCGUGAGACAGUUCGGUCCCUAUCUGCCGUGGGCGCUGGAGAACUGAGGGGGGCUGCUCCUAGUACGAGAGGACCGGAGUGGACGCAUCACUGGUGUUCGGGUUGUCAUGCCAAUGGCACUGCCCGGUAGCUAAAUGCGGAAGAGAUAAGUGCUGAAAGCAUCUAAGCACGAAACUUGCCCCGAGAUGAGUUCUCCCUGAGACUUAGAGUCUCCUGAAGGAACGUUGAAGACGACGACGUUGAUAGGCCGGGUGUGUAAGCGCAGCGAUGCGUUGAGCUAACCGGUACUAAUGAACCGUGAGGCUUAACCUU
This 693-nucleotide ribosomal RNA is filed under the name Escherichia coli. Its description in RNAcentral is "partial 23S ribosomal RNA". It matches the Rfam family "Bacterial large subunit ribosomal RNA", at positions 2238 to 2925 of the family's 2925-position model. Lineage: Bacteria; Pseudomonadati; Pseudomonadota; Gammaproteobacteria; Enterobacterales; Enterobacteriaceae. The record is from RNAcentral. RNAcentral also lists the same sequence under 103 other names.